RNAcentral lists this ribosomal RNA (428 nucleotides) under uncultured archaeon. Its description in RNAcentral is "bacterial SSU rRNA". It matches the Rfam family "Archaeal small subunit ribosomal RNA", at positions 474 to 903 of the family's 1478-position model. The record is from RNAcentral.
UACCAGCUCUCCGAGUUGUAGGGAUGAUUAUUGGGCUUAAAGCGUCCGUAGCUGGCUUAGCAAGUCUCCUGUUAAAUUCAGCGACCUAAUCGUUGAGCCGCGGGAGAUACUACUAGGCUAGGAGGCGGGAGAGGUCGACGGUACUUUCGGGGUAGGGGUGAAAUCCUAUAGUCCCGGGAGGACCACCAGUGGCGAAGGCUGUUGACUAGAACGCGCUCGACGGUGAGGGACGAAAGCUGGGGGAGCGAACCGGAUUAGAUACCCGGGUAGUCCCAGCUGUAAACGAUGCGAGCUAGGUGUUGGGGUGCUACGUGCCACUUCAGUGCCGCAGGGAAGCCAUUAAGCUCGCCGCCUGGGGAUACGGCCGCAAGGCUAGAAACUUAAGGAAUUGGGCGGGGGAGCACCUCAAGGCGUGAAGCUUGCGGUUC